UACAGAGGUGGCAAGCGUUGUUCGGAAUUACUGGGCGUAAAGGGCGCGUAGGCGGUCCGAUAAGUCCCGUGUGAAAGCCCCCGGCUCAACUGGGGAACUGCACGGGAAACUGACGGACUUGAGUUCGGAAGAGGAGUGUGGAAUUCCUGGUGUAGCGGUGAAAUGCGCAGAUAUCAGGAGGAACACCAAUGGCGAAGGCAGCACUCUGGGACGUGACUGACGCUGAGACGCGAAAGCGUGGGGAGCAAACAGG
Molecule: ribosomal RNA, 253 nt
Filed under: uncultured bacterium
Lineage: Bacteria
Description: partial 16S ribosomal RNA
Rfam family: Bacterial small subunit ribosomal RNA
Source: RNAcentral